CAGUCGCCGCGGUAAUACGAAGGGUGCAAGCGUUAAUCGGAAUUACUGGGUGUAAAGCGUGCGUAGGCGGUGAGUUAAGUCUGCUGUGAAAUCCCCGGGCUCAACCUGGGAAUGGCAGUGGAUACUGGCUCGCUAGAGUGUGUCAGAGGAUGGUGGAAUUCCCGGUGUAGCGGUGAAAUGCGUAGAGAUCGGGAGGAACAUCAGUGGCGAAGGCGGCCAUCUGGGACAACACUGACGCUGAGGCACGAAAGCGUGGGGAGCAAACAGGAUUAGAUACCCCAGUAGUCCCUGUCUCUUAUAA
This 301-nucleotide ribosomal RNA is filed under the name uncultured bacterium. Its description in RNAcentral is "partial 16S ribosomal RNA". It matches the Rfam family "Bacterial small subunit ribosomal RNA", at positions 509 to 809 of the family's 1533-position model. The record is from RNAcentral.